Molecule: ribosomal RNA, 1197 nt
Filed under: human gut metagenome
Description: bacterial LSU rRNA
Rfam family: Bacterial large subunit ribosomal RNA
Source: RNAcentral
CUCAGGGUAAGUCGGGACCUAAGCCGAGGCGGAAAAGCGUAGGCGAUGGACAACAGGUUGAAAUUCCUGUACCGGUGUGAAUCGUUUGAUCGAAGGAGUGACACAGUAAGGUAGGUCAGCACGCGAUUGGAAGUGCGUGUUUAAGCAUGUAGGUUGAGUUAUAGGCAAAUCCGUAACUCUAAAAGCUGAGAUGUGAUGACGAGCUGUUUACAGCGAAGUGAUUGAUCCUACACUGUCGAGAAAAGCUUCUAGGUAGAGACACAUCGCCCGUACCAAAACCGACACAGGUAGGCGGGGAGAGAAUCCUAAGGUGCGCGGGAAAACCCUCGUUAAGGAACUCGGCAAAAUGCCUCCGUAACUUCGGGAAAAGGAGGACUCAUGUAGUGUGAAGGGCAGUAACGCGUGGAGCAUGAAUGAGUGGCACAAGAGAGGCGCAAGCGACUGUUUACCACAAACACAGGUGCCUGCUAAAGCGAAAGCUGAUGUAUAGGUGCUGACACCUGCCCGGUGCUGGAAGGUUAAGAGGAGGGGUUAGACUUCGGUCGAAGCUCUGAAUUGAAGCCCCAGUAAACGGCGGCCGUAACUAUAACGGUCCUAAGGUAGCGAAAUUCCUUGUCGGGUAAGUUCCGACCCGCACGAAAGGCGUAAUGAUUUGGGCACUGUCUCAACGAGGGACCCGGUGAAAUUGAAGUACCUGUGAAGAUGCAGGUUACCCGCGACUGGACAGAAAGACCCCAUGGAGCUUUACUGCAACCUAAGAUUGAACUUAGUUAAUGAAUGUACAGGAUAGGUGGGAGACUUAGAAUCUAGGGCGCCAGUCUUAGAGGAGUCGUUGUUGGGAUACCACCCUUUGAUUAAUUGAUUUCUAACAGGCCGAUUAACAACCGGCUGGACAGUCUUAGGCGGGCAGUUUGACUGGGGCGGUCGCCUCCUAAAGAGUAACGGAGGCGCCCAAAGGUUCCCUCAGAGCGGACGGAAAUCGCUCGAAGAGUGUAAAGGCAGAAGGGAGCUUGACUGCGAGACGGACAGGUCGAGCAGGGACGAAAGUCGGGCUUAGUGAUCCGGUGGUGCCGAGUGGAAGGGCCAUCGCUCAACGGAUAAAAGCUACCCUGGGGAUAACAGGCUAAUCUCUCCCAAGAGUCCAUAUCGACGGGGAGGUUUGGCACCUCGAUGUCGGCUCAUCACAUCCUGGGGCUG